CCACUCGCAUACAAGCGAACGGCGGUUCGGCCGAACCGAAUAGCAGGCGCGCAGCAACUGCAGGCAGAGAAAGCGGCCGAACGGGAGAGUGGGUGGCUGGGGGAGCGAGAAGGCAACUGGCGAGUGCGAAUGAGCGAGACAGCAGGGCUGUUGCCUCUGCGCGAGAAAGCAAGUUAUGUUAUGGAGUGUACAGAACAAUGUUGUAAACGAGUGAGUGCAAUUAAGUGAGUGAGAGUAACUGAGUGAAAGAGCAAAGACAAAAUCUCACGUCACGGAAUCUCAGGGAUGAAAAAAAGGUCAGCGAUUUAUAGAAGAGCGAUUUGUUUGCUAUUCUUUGCUAAUGUUGUUUUUGUUUUCGCUACUGGGUUUAAUUAAAAAACAAAACUCCGUUAACCCAUUGAGGUAGGUGUCAAAUAGAAGGGAAAGACAACUAAAUGAGUCAAAAACACACGUAAUCACGAAAUGCUUCUCAUUUGCGGAAAUUUGAAAUCUGCGGAAACAAAUCUUAAAUGUUCUUAACUUCCAAAUGAAAUAAUCUUUUAUAAAGAAAUUACGAACUAAACAUUUUAAAUACAAAAACCAAAACUUUAAGUGAUAGCAAGAUAAGAAAAGAGUUAUCGAGAGCCGCGCCAUUCUUAAGGGGAGUGGAAUUUUCUUGGUUUUCUUGGGAUAUCAUUAAAUUUCGGCAGCGAACUUCAGAAAACCGUUUUCAUUUUGGAGCGCAGAAACCAAUCGAAAGAAAAGAAAAGACACUUUCUUGAGAAGCGAAAACUUUAUGAAGCUUGUGAUUAUUUCUGUUAAUGUCUCGACAUUAACAUUUUAUUACGAUUGGAGGCGAGUGAGAUAACUUAUGAGGAAAAACUGCAAAGUGAUUCAGUGUCACAGGAACAUAUUUCUAGGUACAGCGGAAAGAAAAUUGCAAAUGAAAAAAGUGUUUAAAAAGUAUCGUAUAAUUUUAUAAAAAUAUAACUUAAUAUUUUACCGAACGCAUAAUAAGUUUUGUAGUUUAAAACACAUUUCAUUAUUACAUCUCAUUGCUCUAACAAUUUGUUUUAAAAAUCCAUACAUAACAUAAUUUCAGUAUUUUCAUUUAAUUAUAUUGAAUAAAUGAAAAAUUCAUCCUCAGCAUUUAAUGCUCCUCAAAUUUGUACAUAAAUCCAGUACAAUUUUAUCUCACAGAUUUUUACCCAAUGAUCUCAAUUCCAAAUAGAGCGCCAACAAGAGAGAGCACUAUAUUUGUAUACACAGGCAGUAACAGUUUUAGAGUGAGAGAGAAAAACACGAAGGUCCACUGUUAAAGCUUCCGUGGGACUUUAACAUCGACCGGCGGACACGAAAACAUUGCAAAAUCGGCACGAAUUAAAAAAUCGCCGGCGACGACAGAAACGCGACAGAAACGGACGGUAGUCCGUCUCGCGUUUCUCGCAGCGCCCAAAACCGAAAAACAGCGUGCGGCAUUUGAUGCGGAAUCGCAUUGAAUCCGAAACACAGCCAGAAGUGAAACGGCGGCGACUUACGUCGCGCGUCUAUCGCAAAAACGAACAGGCGCCCAGCGCCGGCAGCAGCGCGAUUGUGGUGCGUUUUCAGCCGCCGCUGUUAGUGCUCAAAACGGUUAUGCCUGCGAAGAGAGCACAAGAGCGAACUAUUUUAUUUUGUUUCCAUGCGCCAGUGUGUGUGUGUGUUUGUGUGAAUAUGCUGUGAGCUCCACAGAAAACUAUUUGUACCCAGCAAUUGAAAUACAAUUUUGAUUCACAAAAGCGUUGAUGACGUUUUUAUGAAACGUCAUAAUAAGUUAAACAAAGUUUAAUGUUCUAAUGACUUAACCACAUGCAUAAAGAAUUUUAAUACAGAAAAUAAGUUGUUGAAGUUUGAUUAGUAAUAUCAAUCACGUUAUCUUGUAUUAAAAAAAUAAUGGUACAGGCGGAGUUGGGAUUGCAAUGCAUUGUAUUUUAUCUAUCAAUAGAAAUAACUAAAAAAAAAACAAACAUCGGAACAAUACAACUUUUUCAACAUGUAGCCACAAAUAGUAUUAAUAUUUAUGUCAUUUGCAUUUUAAUAAUAAAUUGACGUAAGCAUCGAAGCUACUUAUAUAAUUUCAUGCAGUACUAUUUUAUCUGUUAAUCUGAUCAUAAAACGCCCGUCAGCAUUGGAAUUAAUGAAUUAAUUUGGUAGCUGCAAAAACCGCUUGCGUUUCCAAUCGCAAGCCGAAAAAAAUGCGGUUUUAAACGCGACCGGCGAGAAGAUACAUUUUAUUGCAAAUGGAGAAGCGGCGAAGAUGGCUGAAAGUCGUCGGCUGGCUGAAACGUCUGUUGGCCCAUGAGAAAACGACGCCAAACAAAAUGGUGCCGCCUCCAGUGACGAAAGCGACAAGCCAACUAACUAGCCAAGUUACUAACAACCAACGACUAACGACAAACGCAACACAAAGAGAACGACAAACGACGACGGCGGCGACAAAAAGUCAAUUUUAUCGGAAACUAACAGGCUGCAAGCAGCCGGAGAAAGCAAAGCAAAGCUGGGGCGGAAAAGCCAAGGUGGACUUUCCACUUUUCGUUUGUCUGGCCUGGAAAAGCUCUCUUUCUCUAUUCCUCUAUGGCUCGCCAGCGCUGGGCGCCUAAUCCGAAUUGCGAGAAAGAUCCGCUUUUCGAGCCAAAAACCAUCGAAUAGCCCGGCAAGCACACAGCUCGCACAAAUUUUCCGCCCAGAGCCACGCCCCCGAAAUUCGGAGUGCCGCCCCCCUGGAUGUCCGGGCCAAAAUCCAAGCCAUCCGGCCGGGACAAAGGCGAGCGGCAGACUGAGGGAAAAUCAAGGAAAAUUUUGAAGCCAAACCGCAGAAAGCGCUGGAGAAAAGUAGAUGGCUAUGUUGCUUUCGCAGGGGGUGUGGCGGGGGGUAGUUAUUCGAAAAGGGGGUGGUGCUUGGGUGGAAAGUACAGAACCAACAUCUCAGUGCAAUUAACUUGAUUGUCUCUGCACAUGCGCAUUGUGGAAAACUCCAAUCGUGUACUAUGUUUACCCAAAUGCUAUCGUAUUAAUUUGGCUUUCCCGUAAAUUGUGCAGUUUUACCGAUUUAUGGUCAAGCUGUUAAAGUUAUUAAAUAUUAAUAAUGGGGUUAAUUAUAGGGAAAUAAUAUAAAUAUAGCAGCCAAAAGUAUUAUUACUAUUUGUACUCUUUCUCUAUUAGUUUAUGUGUUAUAAAAAUAAGCUUCAAAUGUAUUAUACUUUAAUAGCAAUAUAAUUAUAAUCAUUUGUUUUGCAAACGUGCAUAAAAUGAAAUACGACCCAGUUGUAUAAUUAAUUGAUAAGAAAAUGAGCCAAAGUAUUUUAUUUACACAAGCCGCUCAAUAAACCGGAAAUGCCAUCUCUGGCUUUACUUUUCUCAGCUAAAUUGUGAUUCUAUAGUAUAUCAUUUCGAAAAGAAGAUAACACAUUGAAUCGCAGGAUUUUAGUUCACACGCAGGGCGAAACCGCAAGCAUUCGCCAUGAUGUAUAAAUAAAAAUCGAGGAAAGCCCACAAGUAGAUGCAAAUUGUUGGCCAGCUGCAGCUGCAGCAACAACAGCAACACAUCAGCAGCAGCAGCAACUUCGCCUCCAGCAACAUCAAACGGCAAUCGCAGCAACAACAGGUCCCGAAACAGAUGUCGUGCGAUUCUUUGUGGAGUAGGGCAUGGUGGGGCUGAGAGGAGUUGGGGAGUAUCUUGCAACAGCUGCAACAUGCAACAUUAUCGUCGAUGCUGCUGCAACAUUGCAGAGGGCGCCACUGUUGUUGUUCCAUGCCACCAGCGAUGCGGCGCUCAGAAAAUCCAGCCUGCCGGUACAGUGGUAAAAUGCUAAAGUGGCAAGUGCCCCACCAGCGGGAUACACAACACACAACACAACACACACAAAUGCACAUACACACUCUCACGAACAAGGAAAAUUCGCAAUAAGGCAACAACACAAUACGAAAUAAAAGCCACAACGGCAACGGAACCGGUUGUUCAAACUAGCACAAAAAGUAGUCGAGGAAAAAGAGGAGACCAUUGUAUGGCUACUCCUUCUGAGCUCCCAAUCCCAAAGAGCCCCAACUACAACUGGGCGAUUUCUCGAACAUGCCGGGCACUUACUUCAUUACCCGCCACUGAAAACAUAAGAUACUUCAAAGGAUUCGAAGGAAUCUUGUGGUUUUUAACUCGACAGAUACUAUUGGAUACUAAAACGACGCAGGAACAGAAAUCCAAAGAACAAUAUACAAUCUUCAAUAACUAAAGAGUUCAUUAUGAUUACGGCCUGUUUAAACAAGACAAAUUCCCAAUAUUUGCGGAAGUCAUGUGAUGACUUGAAAAUACAAUAAGAUAAGGGGUUAUCAAGGGGUCAUUAUGUUCCUAUAAUUAUGUUGUUAUCAAAUGGAAACGUGGACACUGCGAAUUUAUUUCUUACAUUGCUUAAAGCAUAUAUUGCUUAUAGUUCUCGAUGGUUGAUGCUUUGAAUUUUUGUUUGCCCAGCUAUGUAUCAUAUAGGAACGCACUCCUCUCGACUCGUUGGAACCCGUCUCUGCACAGCUGCCUGCACCCAUUUAACCCAUGUUGUACAACAAUUUAACGGCCAACCACUCGCUGAGGCUCUUCUGCAGAAUGCCGCUCGAAUCUUCUGCUCGCAGGGGUGACUUUCCACGGGAGGAAAGGACGGAAAACCCAUAAAACGAAUAGGACAAUGAAUAAAUGCCUGACUGCCUGCCAACUUUAAUUAAUUUUCUAUUUCUGUUUUCAUGCUACACGAUUGCCGAAGAGCGUACCACUUUUUGAACGAUUCAAAAUUAUUCAAUACGUUCGUGGGGUUAAAGUAAAUACAUAUACAUAUUAUAAAUUCGAUUAUAGUGUGUCAGCCCUUGAAGCCUUUGCAUUAUUCUGUAAAGUGCUUGAUAAUUCUGUGCAAUAAAACGAAAUGCUUUUACUUUGAUCAGUUGCCUACAAAGUAUCUUGAGUCCACAGUAGAAAACCGGUUUUUAGCAAGGAUAUGCCAUUAUUUGAAGCGCUCUUGAGGACUUUUGCAAACAUACAUACAUUUGUGUGUUGGUACUUAAAUGUAAAUGUACCUGGGCAGGUGCGAGUAAUCCGCGAAAGGACUCAGUGCGGAACGAGGCAUGACGAGGAGAGCCUGUCGCUCGUAUCCUCCAAGUCGAACCCACAAUUGCUCUUCCGGUUCCAUCCCCACCACUUGUCCCCUCAUUUUGUGCCCCAGAAUUAACCCCUCACUCGCCGGUCCCGCUAAUGAAGUCUUAAAUUGUCUGUCGUUUCGCAAUGCUUUUUGCUAAAUUAACAAACAGCGCGCGGAAAACUAUAAAAAAAGGAAAACAAAUAAAAAAUUAAACGGGGUCCGGUCUCUGCUUUACCCAUCUGCCCCCCACCCCCAACCCCCUUCAGCACUCCCAAAUCCCCUUUUAUAUUGCGCUUAAAUAUUUAUGAGCUACACGUGACGAUGGCUGAAAGCCAUGAAAUUGUCGCUAAGCGAUGAGCUGAAAACAAAUAAAAUUAUAACAUUUAACUCGUGGAAUAACUUGAAAAGUUAUAUUUGCUAGUUUUCAUAAACAGCAUUAAAACUAACGACUGUAAAAGAUUUCCACAUUUAGUAGAAGCUUUAACAUAAAAAUGCUUAUAAUUAGCAUUAUACCAUCGCAUUUCCUUCUUAGAUAUUAACUUCCUUGUUUUGUUUUUACGAAUUAGAGAACAUCCAACAUAUUAAUUAAUUAAUAAACGGCCAAUUCCACGCUUACUAAUACAUGUUUAAGAUGGUUUUCUAAGUACGAAAUGCCAUUUAGACAGUCUUGUGCCCACAAAACAUUUUCUAGUUUUCUAUUUAUUUUGUUUUAUGGGCGCGAAAGUUGAUUAACGUUAAUUAAUUCAUGCUGCGAGUGGCGUUUAUAUUUGAACAAAUUGGAACUAAACGAGAUGUUCGAGUGCCCGGAAAUGCACACACACACACACUCGCAUACACACACAACCGCUGAGAUACAAGAUGCAAACACACAGAUACAAUGUUUGACCCAGUAAUUAAGGCGUGUUUAGCAGGCGCAUUUCAUGAGGCUAAUUAAUGAAGUUCAGUCCAUCAGCAUGCAGCUUCAUAUCGCCCUCCCGCUCACCAUUUCCCAUCUCUUUUUUCUUCUUGGCAACCUGUUUUCCCUUGGUCUUGUGUACACAACAAAAGCAAUUUCAGGGAAAACAUUUCUCCCAUUUUUCUAGUAUUUUUCUUUUCUCUAUUUUCCUCGGUUACUUAGUAGAUGCAACCAAAAACGCUCCAGGCUCGUAAGCGCAAACAAAUUAAACGCAGCAAAGGAACGAGGAAGAUGAACAGAAAUACAGUAAAACUGGUCGAAGAAGAACAGUCUAAGCCAAUGUUUAUAGAAGUACACAUAUGCCAUUAACGAUUCAAAUAUCGAACAAAUAUCAAAUAUCAUAACUUCUGAUGUAUACAAUAUAUGACUUAUGUAGACAUUUAGUUUUGCAGUGAAAUAUGUAAAUAAUAGGGGCUAUACCUAGUCCCCAAAGUUUGGUUUGUGUAGCGAAUUAUAAUAACUCGUCGUUGUUUAGAUUAGAAGAUAGUGAUUCUUAAGUGAAAAAGUAUUAGUUUUUAGCUAAGCAAGUUCGACCCCAUUUUUUAAAAAAACCGAUGACAGCAACAAAAAUCGAAGGGAAGCCGCACAAAAUGUCCAACAAAACAGCGACGCCGACAGCGCGGUAGCGGCGCAGCAACAGAGGCGGCAGCGUGGGAGUUUCGUUAACAGCUGUACCCCAAAACGCGCUCUCUCUUUUGUUCUCUCAGCACGUAACAACAUCCCUGCGUCACACUUUGUUAUUGCUGUUGCUGUUGUUCCUGUGGGCUGUUGCUGUUGUUGUUGCUGCUGGUGUGGUUGGUGCUGCUGAUGUUCCUGCGCUGCUGCUGCCCAAGUUGUUGUUGGCUUUUUGUCACAGGUCGUUGCACUACCAAUACCCAUGCAACAAAGAGAGCGAUGUACGCUGUACAGUGUGACACAUGCAGGCCGCUCGGACGGCAGUCGUCGACAAAAGCGAGCAGCAACAGCAGUAACAGCAACAAUAGCGCAGCAUCAGAAACCCCCUUCACCACCCCUGUGCGACCGACAAAACCGACCUGAAUUCAUUUGCUUGGAAAUGCAAAUCCACAAGGGUAUAAGGAAUUCGGACAUAAAUAUGUAAUGAAUCAAGUGGCUGCAGGUUUCCAUUAAAAAGGCCCAAUUAAAACCAAGUGGAAAUCUUGUUGGGAGAUCAAGGAGUUAUUUUCCCCAUUAAUCCUUUCGUAUAUUUUCGUAUUUUUUUUGGGGGGAAAUUUUAAAGAAUAUAGUCAAGUGGUACCAAAAAAAAAAAAUUGUUGUGUGAUUAUUUUGUGUAUCUCGCGGGGCAUAAAAGAAAAGCAUUCAAAUGAACUUUUCUCGCUGGUAUGGUUGUUGUUCUUGUUGUACGUGGCACAAGUGCGGCCGCAUGCUCAAGCACACACCCAUACACCUAAAGAAGGAACCAGAAAACGUGUUGAGUGGCAAAAAAGAAUAAUAAUAAUAAAAAACAAGAAUGAGCGCUUUAAGCACUUCAGGUUAGACCAACGCGAUACCCGCUAGUAACCGACAGUUGGCAAACGGAGCUCUUUAGAAUUUCAUCUCACUUAAGACUUAAUUUCAAGAGUAUAAAAAAGUGCAUUAGGAAUUUUUAACAAAGCCAUUUAGAGUUAGAGGAGCACUUUUUACUACCACUAAAGUUUUAAGGACUUGUCAGGAUUUUGAGAGCAUGCUUUCUUUACAUAGAUUAUUACUGAUUACAUUUUGUUUCCGAAUUAUAAUCAGAUUGAUUUUAAUGAUCAAUCAUGAUAUAUUUUUCUUUCUUACGCAAAAACAAUAUACCCUACGUAAUCUCGGUGUGCAGGGUAUAAAAUCAAGUAAAGAAUACCAAACAAAAACAAGCCAAACAGAGAUAGGGCUCCUUCUGCCUAGCAAAUUUCAUAUUCAACAUAUUCUCCACCUUUUUCACCCUUUUUCCAGGCAAUUUGAUUUUUGCAAAAGUUGAGUGUUUCCCCAAACAUUCUGUUUUCCCCGUAUCCCAAUUUAAAGUUUGUGAUUUUAAAUGAUUAAUGUUCAAGUCGAGAUUUCGUACAAUGAUUGAUUAAUUAACGUUGACAACCCAACGGCAAAGAAAACAAAAAUUGCCGACACACGCACACCCUUUCCGUAAACACACACAAACACAAAGGCGGUCUCUUUCGGUUGUCCAGUUUUCCAAAACUUCUUUUUUUAGUUAAUAAAUUGACUUCCAUUUUCGUUACGGUCUUUUCUUAUCCCCUUCUUCCAUCUACAUGAUAUUAUUGUUGCCGUUGCGUUUCCCACCCAAAAGCAUUUUCCUAUGAAAUCUGAAACGAUGGCUCUGCGGACGUUGAUGUGUGUGUGGCCAGGUUUUAGCCUUGAUUGAUUCGAAACCGAGUUUAGUUAGCCCGAGAAACCGUAAGGGGUAGUAGAGAUCAAUGCACAGAGAGAAAUCAAUGUGUUCUUCAUGGAUACUUUUGUUAUUAAGAAAAUGCAGUAAAAAGUCAUUGUUAUUAAAAUACAAGGCUUAAGGGAUUGGAAUACAUUCCGAUUACGAAUGUGGCUUGAGAAAUGUUUACAAAUAUUGCUCUAGCUUUUCUCUCAGUGUUCAUAUUUCCUUUGCAGUUUGCCACUGUCAAUCGAGUCUCUUUCUCACCUCAAUUUCGAGCCAUAUGUGCGUGUGUUUGCAAAGGUGUACACGCAAUUAAUUAUGUUGACAACUGACAUCAAUUGAAACGCUAUCGGAAGGCAAUCAUCAAA
Molecule: long non-coding RNA, 8817 nt
Organism: Drosophila yakuba
Lineage: Eukaryota; Metazoa; Arthropoda; Insecta; Diptera; Drosophilidae
Exons: 2
Source: RefSeq, a predicted model, not a curated record